RNAcentral lists this ribosomal RNA (2165 nucleotides) under uncultured Intestinibacter sp. RNAcentral's name for it is "partial contains 16S ribosomal RNA, 16S-23S ribosomal RNA intergenic spacer, and 23S ribosomal RNA". The stretch from base 1 to 1476 matches the Rfam family "Bacterial small subunit ribosomal RNA". Lineage: Bacteria; Bacillati; Bacillota; Clostridia; Peptostreptococcales; Peptostreptococcaceae. The record is from RNAcentral.
GAUGAACGCUGGCGGCGUGCCUAACACAUGCAAGUCGAGCGAUUUACUUCGGUAAAGAGCGGCGGACGGGUGAGUAACGCGUGGGUAACCUGCCCUAUACACACGGAUAACAUACCGAAAGGUAUGCUAAUACGAGAUAACAUAAGUAAUUCGCAUGGAUUUCUUAUCAAAGCUUUUGCGGUAUAGGAUGGACCCGCGUCUGAUUAGCUAGUUGGUAAGGUAACGGCUUACCAAGGCGACGAUCAGUAGCCGACCUGAGAGGGUGAUCGGCCACAUUGGAACUGAGACACGGUCCAAACUCCUACGGGAGGCAGCAGUGGGGAAUAUUGCACAAUGGGCGAAAGCCUGAUGCAGCAACGCCGCGUGAGCGAUGAAGGCCUUCGGGUCGUAAAGCUCUGUCCUCAAGGAAGAUAAUGACGGUACUUGAGGAGGAAGCCCCGGCUAACUACGUGCCAGCAGCCGCGGUAAUACGUAGGGGGCUAGCGUUAUCCGGAAUUACUGGGCGUAAAGGGUGCGUAGGUGGUUUCUUAAGUCAGAGGUGAAAGGCUACGGCUCAACCGUAGUAAGCCUUUGAAACUGAGAAACUUGAGUGCAGGAGAGGAGGGUAGAAUUCCUAGUGUAGCGGUGAAAUGCGUAGAUAUUAGGAGGAAUACCAGUUGCGAAGGCGGCUCUCUGGACUGUAACUGACACUGAGGCACGAAAGCGUGGGGAGCAAACAGGAUUAGAUACCCUGGUAGUCCACGCCGUAAACGAUGAGUACUAGCUGUCGGAGGUUACCCCCUUCGGUGGCGCAGCUAACGCAUUAAGUACUCCGCCUGGGAAGUACGCUCGCAAGAGUGAAACUCAAAGGAAUUGACGGGGACCCGCACAAGUAGCGGAGCAUGUGGUUUAAUUCGAAGCAACGCGAAGAACCUUACCUAAGCUUGACAUCCUUUUGACCUCUCCCUAAUCGGAGAUUUCCCUUCGGGGACAGAAGUGACAGGUGGUGCAUGGUUGUCGUCAGCUCGUGUCGUGAGAUGUUGGGUUAAGUCCCGCAACGAGCGCAACCCUUGCCUUUAGUUGCCAGCAUUAAGUUGGGCACUCUAGAGGGACUGCCAGGGAUAACCUGGAGGAAGGUGGGGAUGACGUCAAAUCAUCAUGCCCCUUAUGCUUAGGGCUACACACGUGCUACAAUGGGUGGUACAGAGGGCAGCCAAGUCGUGAGGCGGAGCUAAUCCCUUAAAGCCAUUCUCAGUUCGGAUUGUAGGCUGAAACUCGCCUACAUGAAGCUGGAGUUACUAGUAAUCGCAGAUCAGAAUGCUGCGGUGAAUGCGUUCCCGGGUCUUGUACACACCGCCCGUCACACCAUGGGAGUUGGGGGCGCCCGAAGCCGGUUAGCUAACCUUUUGGAAGCGACCGUCGAAGGUGAAACCAAUAACUGGGGUGAAGUCGUAACAAGGUAGCCGUAUCGGAAGGUGCGGCUGGAUCACCUCCUUUCUAAGGAGAAUUACCUACUGUUUAAUUUUGAGGGUUUAUUCCUCAAGUUAGUACUUUGAGCAACGGGAUAUUCUCGGAGAGAAUAGACGUUGGCAAUGUACGUUAGUACUUUGAAAACUGCAUAACAUUUAGUGAUAUGACAUCAUUUAAUUAUAUAUAGACAGAUAAGUCUUUAAAAUCAACUUUUAAUAACUGGUCAAGUUAUUAAGGGUGCAGGGCGGAUGCCUUGGCACUAGGAGCCGAUGAAGGACGUGAUAAGCUGCGAUAAGCUUCGGGGAGUUGCACGUAAACUUUGAUCCGAAGAUUUCCGAAUGAGGAAACUCACUUAGAGUAAUGUCUAAGUAUCGUUAAGUGAAUACAUAGCUUAGCGAGGGGAACCCGGGGAACUGAAACAUCUAAGUACCUGGAGGAAGAGAAAGAAAAAUCGAUUCCGUAAGUAGCGGCGAGCGAACGCGGAACAGGCCAAACCAAUGAAGCUUGCUUUGUUGGGGUUGCGGACACAUCAUCAAGUAAGAGGUCAUCGUAAAUGAAGAGAGUUGGAAAGCUCCGCUAUAAAGGGUAAUAGCCCCGUAGUUGAAACGAUAAUUCUUCAGAUGUGAUCCAGAGUACCACGGGACACGUGAAACCCUGUGGGAAGCAGGAGGGACCAUCCUCCAAGCCUAAAUACUACCUAGUGACCGAUAGCGCAU